RNAcentral lists this ribosomal RNA (464 nucleotides) under uncultured bacterium. RNAcentral's name for it is "partial 16S ribosomal RNA". It matches the Rfam family "Bacterial small subunit ribosomal RNA", at positions 339 to 795 of the family's 1533-position model. The record is from RNAcentral.
CUACGGGGUGCUCCAGUGGGGAAUAUUGCACAAUGGGCGCAAGCCUGAUGCAGCCAUGCCGCGUGUAUGAAGAAGGCCUUCGGGUUGUAAAGUACUUUCAGCGGGGAGGAAGGGAGUAAAGUUAAUACCUUUGCUCAUUGACGUUACCCGCAGAAGAAGCACCGGCUAACUCCGUGCCAGCAGCCGCGGUAAUACGGGGGGUGCAAGCGUUAAUCGGAAUUACUGGGCGUAAAGCGCACGCAGGCGGUUUGUUAAGUCAGAUGUGAAAUCCCCGGGCUCAACCUGGGAACUGCAUCUGAUAAUGGAAAGCUUGAGGCUCGUAGAGGGGGGUAGAAUUCCAGGUGUAGCGGUGAAAUGCGUAGAGAUCUGGAGGAAUACCGGUGGCGAAGGCGGCCCCCUGGACGAAGACUGACGCUCAGGUGCGAAAGCGUGGGGAGCAAACAGGAUUAGAUACCCGGGUAGUC